This 456-nucleotide ribosomal RNA is filed under the name Triticum aestivum (bread wheat). RNAcentral describes it as "partial small subunit ribosomal RNA". Lineage: Eukaryota; Viridiplantae; Streptophyta; Magnoliopsida; Poales; Poaceae. The record is from RNAcentral.
AUGAGUUUCUUAACCUGGAACCGUCGGGAGCUUGGGAACCACGGGGUAGUUCGAGAGCUUCGCAGUAUUGUGAAGCAAGAAGGUCUCGGUCUCUUUUUUGUUAUGGAGACAAAGAUCGCAACGGCUAGAGUGGAGAACCUCCGGAACUCUCUGGGUUUCGAGCGAAGCUUUGCAGUUAACAGUGUGGGUCUCAGUGGUGGGAUUGGUAUGUUCUGGUCCGAUGAUUUUGAGAUUGAGCCGAUGAAUUACAGUACCAGUCAUAUUGAUAUCAUGGUGCGAAGGAAAGGUGACGAUGCAAGGAAAUGGCGGGUGAUAGGUUUCUAUGGAGCUCCAAGGGCUAAAGAUAGACAUCAUAGUUGGAGGUUCAUGAGAACUAUGUGUGCAAUCCAGCAUGAGGUUUGGAUGUGUAUCGGUGAUUUUAAUGAAACUUUGUUGGGAGUGGAACAUUUUUCGUGA